Molecule: long non-coding RNA, 871 nt
Organism: Drosophila pseudoobscura
Lineage: Eukaryota; Metazoa; Arthropoda; Insecta; Diptera; Drosophilidae
Exons: 4
Source: RefSeq, a predicted model, not a curated record
CAGAAACAGCAACAGCAAGGUUUUUUGACAAGCUUAUGUGACAUUUUAUUUGAUCGAUCGUUCCAGUUCCUAUCGCAGAAAUACUAUUAUACUUUCUUCCUAUAGUCCUAUGUUCUGAGUACAGCAAAAAGGGAGAUGUACAAAGUUUCAACGAGAUAGGAGGGGCUAUGGAAAGAAGCAGACUUUGAUCGUAUUUCUGAUCAGGAACCUUCUUCAAGGAUAAAGUCAGUCAGCGACAUAGAGUCAAACGUGAUCCUUAUUUAUCUGCUUGGACAUCUCAGAGGGAGUCUCAAGAUGCAGGUUCUGCCAGAUGGUCCUUGCUUAUUACAAUUGGAACUCUUUAACAAAAGGAUGAUCAAUAACCACAAACUUUAUUAUUCAUACAUAUGUAACAUGCUUGUACGGUCACACUUAAAUGCGCUGCUGACUGCUGACUGGACCCGAACAGAGCCGGAGUGGCCUUCGGCUCAUAAUCCAUACGAUCAUUGUUAAGCCGAAGUAAGCCGAAACCUCCGAUCCGAAAACGAGCAGCAAGGCACUGAUUGAGUGGUUUAAAAUCAACAGCGAACAAUGCUAAGAUUCUUUAGAUGUGCAUUUCAAUGAUUCUGUGACUUCUGAGUAAUGGGAUAGAUGUCGCAUCCGUGUUGCUUAUUUAAGGAUUACAUGUCAAUAUAAUGGGGUUCUUUGUUUAAGGCCAUAACACACCGGUGUUAUUUGGAAGUCCAAGCGGAUCCACAAAAUGUUAAGUUUAGAUGUGAAAGCACACUUAAAACAAUUGGAGAGAAACAACAAAACAUACUGAAUCAGAAAAUACUAACACAGAACAUUUAUUUGGCAUACUGGUGCGAGUAUUUUCCAUAUUUUCAAUUUG